Molecule: non-coding RNA, 542 nt
Organism: Zootermopsis nevadensis
Lineage: Eukaryota; Metazoa; Arthropoda; Insecta; Blattodea; Termopsidae
Source: RefSeq, a predicted model, not a curated record
UUUAUACCUUAUUUAACUUGUUUCUGAAACGAAAUCUAUUUGAGUACAAUCUGCAGCAAAUUCCAGCUGAUGCAGUAAAUUAAGUUAUCUUACGUCUGCUCCACGCAUUCUGUAGUGUAUUGUCAGUCGUGACGGCACGAAACGUCAUUAUACGCGAGGGAAUAUACCAAUGUAUUCAAACUGUGUCGCCACAUAUCAUACAUACACUUGACAGCAGUGACACGUAUGGCAACUUCCCAUCUGUGAGGUUGACGAAGGAAUAUCAGCAGGCACACACGGUAAUACACCGUCACCAUUAAACAUCCACAAGUUACACACAUCAAAACAGAUAUAAGAUCGGCUGAAAGAUAUUUCCCUUCGAAGCGAUGAUAAACGUCUACGAGAUUGCACACUAUCAUAACCCCGAUGAUCACAAAUGCUAAAUUUCACCACUGUGAAAACAUCAAAUGUCAUAUCGGUACUAAAUCUCGUCUCAGAAUCAUGUAUGAGAAAUUCACGAUUGUAUUUUUUAUAGUAAUGCUGUUAUGGAUUAAAUUUGUAGA